RNAcentral lists this ribosomal RNA (459 nucleotides) under uncultured bacterium. RNAcentral describes it as "partial 16S ribosomal RNA". It matches the Rfam family "Bacterial small subunit ribosomal RNA", at positions 338 to 795 of the family's 1533-position model. The record is from RNAcentral.
CCUACGGGAGGCAGCAGUGAGGAAUAUUGGUCAAUGGGCGCGAGCCUGAACCAGCCAAGUCGCGUGAGGGAAGACGGUCCUAUGGAUUGUAAACCUCUUUUGUCGGGGAGCAAAAGACGCCACGCGUGGCGUUCCGAGAGUACCCGAAGAAAACGCAUCGGCUAACUCCGUGCCAGCAGCCGCGGUAAUACGGAGGAUGCGAGCGUUAUCCGGAUUUAUUGGGGUUAAAGGGUGCGCAGGCGGAAGAGCAAGUCAGCGGUAAAAUUGAGAGGCUCAACCUCUUCGAGCCGUUGAAACUGGUUUUCGUGAGUGAGUGAGAAGUAUGCGGAAUGCGUGGUGUAGCGGUGAAAUGCAUAGAUAUCACGCAGAACUCCGAUUGCGAAGGCAGCAUACCGGCGCUCAACUGACGCUCAUGCACGAAAGUGUGGGUAUCGAACAGGAUUAGAUACCCGUGUAGUC